RNAcentral lists this ribosomal RNA (498 nucleotides) under uncultured bacterium. Its description in RNAcentral is "bacterial SSU rRNA". It matches the Rfam family "Bacterial small subunit ribosomal RNA", at positions 28 to 477 of the family's 1533-position model. The record is from RNAcentral.
GAUGAACGCUGGCGGCGUGCCUAAUACAUGCAAGUCGAACGCAUUGUGGUUGAAAUGAUAUGAAGAACUUGUUCAGAUUUGAUUUUCAACAUUGCAAUGAGUGGCGAACGGGUGAGUAACACGUGGGAAACCUACCUCUUAGCAGGGGAUAACAUUUGGAAACAAAUGCUAAUACCGUAUAAUAAUUAAAACCGCAUGGUUUUAGUUUAAAAGAUGGCCUUGCUAUCACUAAGAGAUGGUCCCGCGGUGUAUUAGUUAGUUGGUGAGGUAAUGGCUCACCAAGACAAUGAUACAUAGCCGAGUUGAGAGACUGACCGGCCACAAUGGGACUGAGACACGGCCCAUAACUCCUACGGGAGGCAGCAGUAGGGAAUCAUCCACAAUAGGACGAAAGUCUGAUGGAGCAACGCCGCGUGUGUGAUGAAGGGUUUCGGCUCGUAAACACUAGUUGUAAGAGAAGAAUAGAGAUUGAGAGUAACUGUUCAAUGUGUGACGGUA